UCGAUGAAUUUCAUCCAAGAAGUUCUCCAGUUGUUCUAUUAGCAUUCGUUUUUUAAACCUGUAUAAAAAAAAUAAGUAAUAGCACUCUCAAUUUCUUUUUAAUGGAUAUAGAUCAGUAUAAUUUGUUUUGUUUUGUUUUUAAGACAGCAACUGUCUUGGGAAGAUUUUUCAAAGGAAAAUGAAAAUGGAAAAAAACAACUUAAUGAUAUAUAAAAUUCACUUGAAGAUCAGCAAAUUAUUUUAUCAGUGCAGAAUUACAGUUUGUUCCUGAAACAAAUAAUCUAGGCCCAGGUAUAAUGGAAGCAGGUUAUUUGUUCUACAUCCAAAAAGAAAAACAAAAAACCCCUAACAUUUACAAGGGUUAUAAAUAUUCCAAAAAAAUUUGGACUCCCAAAGCAAUGACUCCCAUAGCUUCUGAUGCUCUUUAAAGUUGAAUGUCGUGAAAGGAAUGUGAAAAAAGUAUGAGUAUAACCGCCACAAAACCAAAGAAGAAAUGAAUAGUUGGAUGGUAACAUUAAAAAAACCCUUGGGUUCCACUAUUAAAUUUGAGAGCUAGCAAAUCAAGGAUAAUUAGGUAUCUGUGGCUACAGGAUAUAGCAAACAUUUAACAUUCAAGGGGCAAUUUGAAAUUUUUUUCACUAAUACAGUAGACUAAAAUUGCAUUCGCCCACAUAAGUACUAAUACUGCUGCUGCUCACUGUCCAAUCUAUACCCACUUCCUUUCUAUUUGUAAAUUCAUAUACAUAGCUACCAUAAUAUUUCCAAUCUCCCUAAAAGGGGGCAGAAGUAGAGGGCAAGCACCAGGAAUAUAGCUAGAUCUAUGAUGAAGUCUGAGUUGAUAAAAUGUUACAUAAAGAAAAGAAUAGGUUAAAUAUUCAAAAUAAAUAACAUGAAAAGUUAUGGCCUUAUCUUGAACCUUCAAAGUGGCCUAUGCUCUAGCCACUCCAAAAAAAGAAAAAAAUUAACUGCUCUAUCUAAAAAUACCUUUAUGCGUACCAUGGAAGAAACUGGGCAACCAUUAAAGGGUGGGUAUAUUUAGAAGGUCAGAUAACACUAAGUUUUCUUAAAAUACUAAAGAAGUAUUAAAAGAAAAAUAAAUGUUUUUUGUACUCCCUAAACUCACAACUACAAUUUCCAGUUAAUUGCACUUCAUAGUUACCAUUUAUAAUCUUGAUCCACAUUCUUUGUAUUAAAGUACAUAAUCCUGGGCUACUGAAGCAAUUAUAGAAUAAGGCCCAUUUGUCCAACUCUGCUCCCCUUAAUUACACAUUUUCCCGUGUACAAAUGAACUGCAUCCAAUAUUGUCUUUCAAGGUUAUUUCUAAUCACUGAUUAAUAUUAACUAUAAUCCAAAUAUACAAAGGAGAAAAAUUAAAGGCUAAAAAAUACAAAGACCCC
Lutra lutra (Eurasian river otter) is the source of this 1397-nucleotide long non-coding RNA. RefSeq lists it as uncharacterized. The transcript has 2 exons. The record is from RefSeq and is a predicted model, not a curated record. NCBI's taxonomy places the organism in Eukaryota, Metazoa, Chordata, Mammalia, Carnivora, Mustelidae.